UACGAAGGGGGCUAGCGUUGUUCGGAAUCACUGGGCGUAAAGGGCGCGUAGGCGGCCGAUCAAGUCGGGGGUGAAAGCCUGUGGCUCAACCACAGAAUUGCCUUCGAUACUGUUUGGCUUGAGACCGGAAGAGGUAAGUGGAACUGCGAGUGUAGAGGUGAAAUUCGUAGAUAUUCGCAAGAACACCGGUGGCGAAGGCGGCGACCUGGGACAAUACUGACGCUGAGGUGCGAAAGCGUGGGGAGCAAACAGG
RNAcentral lists this ribosomal RNA (253 nucleotides) under uncultured bacterium. RNAcentral's name for it is "partial 16S ribosomal RNA". It matches the Rfam family "Bacterial small subunit ribosomal RNA", at positions 524 to 776 of the family's 1533-position model. The record is from RNAcentral.